Cricetulus griseus (Chinese hamster) is the source of this 46-nucleotide non-coding RNA. The record is from Rfam. Lineage: Eukaryota; Metazoa; Chordata; Mammalia; Rodentia; Cricetidae.
CCAAAGGCUCUUUUCAGAGCCACCCACCUCUUCCAGCAAGAGAGCU